CUUGCCACGAUCCUCCUGCCUCAGCCUCCUGAGUGCUGGGAUUACAGACGUGCAUCACCACGCCCGGCUCUCCCCGUUUUAAAAGUCAGAAACAGCAAGGAAAAAUCCUGAGCGGACAAACAAAAGGUGGCGCCGACCACUCGGCCGUCGGAACCUUUCCCGGUGCAGCACCCACCCCGGCCUUCCACCCUUCCCUUGCAGCGGGUUCUGCCGCGGGCGCACGGCGGGAACGCUCGUCCUCCGUGCGGGUCGCUGCGUCCAGACUUCUGUGCGCGCAGCUCUAGGGAGGCGGGCUCCGCACCGUCCCCGACGUGCAGCUGGCCAGGUCAUUUCGACUCCGGGGAAGAGCCAGAAGUUGUGUGGCUCCAGAGCUAGUAAAUAAGGCGGAUGAGGACCCGCUGAGUGUUUUUAUGAGCCUGCCUUUCCGCUGGAUGGCACCUGCAGCAGCAUUCGUUGUAUGUUUAUCACACUUCAUACAGACACCUGUGAAAGAGCACCUCCAGAACUGCUUCAGAAAGCAGCAAGGAUGAUGCAACACAGUCUGGCUAUGUACUCCAGGCUGGCCUUGAA
This is a long non-coding RNA of Chinchilla lanigera (long-tailed chinchilla), 570 nucleotides long. RefSeq lists it as uncharacterized. The transcript is spliced from 3 exons. The record is from RefSeq and is a predicted model, not a curated record. NCBI's taxonomy places the organism in Eukaryota, Metazoa, Chordata, Mammalia, Rodentia, Chinchillidae.